GCCUGGAUGGCUCAGUUGGUUAAGUGUCUGACUUCGGCUCAGGUCAGGAUCUCAGGAUUCGUGAGUUCGAGUCCCGUGUCGGGCU
Felis catus (domestic cat) is the source of this 85-nucleotide non-coding RNA. The record is from Rfam. Lineage: Eukaryota; Metazoa; Chordata; Mammalia; Carnivora; Felidae.